RNAcentral lists this transfer RNA (69 nucleotides) under Sympotthastia takatensis. Its description in RNAcentral is "tRNA-Gln". The record is from RNAcentral. Lineage: Eukaryota; Metazoa; Arthropoda; Insecta; Diptera; Chironomidae.
UACGUUUUGGUGUAAGAUGCACAAAAGUUUUUGAUACUUUUGGGAAUAGUUUAAUUCUAUUAAAUGUAA